This is a long non-coding RNA of Glycine soja, 532 nucleotides long. RefSeq lists it as uncharacterized. Lineage: Eukaryota; Viridiplantae; Streptophyta; Magnoliopsida; Fabales; Fabaceae. The record is from RefSeq and is a predicted model, not a curated record. The transcript has 3 exons.
CAGAGAAGGUGGAAGAACACAUUAAAGCUGCGAUUUUUAUCUCAAAAAAUCCAAGAGUACAGAGAAGGUGGAAGAACACAUUAAAGUUGCGAUUUUUAUCUAAAAAACUUCAUGAGUACAGAUAACAGAGAGAAAAAAUGGAGCACUGGCAGACCUGGUGAGUGGUUACAUUUAAUUUUGCCAAAAAAACAAGUGAUGUUACCAUUAGCUUUUCUUCCUUAUUUUUAUCUCUGAUUUUAUCAUUUAUCAUGUAGGAUGAUGUUGGUUGUUUUAAGUACUAUGCCAAGCUUGUAGGAAGAUUGCUAAUUGCAGUUGUGUUCCUAGAAAACCUGUGGAAUUUUGAUUUGGUUCUUUUUUUUAUAUCAGGUUUUGAUUUUGAUUUUCUAUAGUUAGGAUUCAAAAGAGGUUGUUUAAGUAAAGUAGUUUAGUUCUGUGAUAGUUGUAUCCCCUUCUGCUUUUUAUUGUAAGGGAUGAUGGAUUUUUUACUUUUUACUAAUAUGAAUAUGAAUGAAUGAAUAAAGUUAAGGUGAAA